GGGCAUGCUGGGAGAUGUAGUUCUAUAGCGAGUGACGGCGGCGCUCAGUGUGAACGUGAGCAGUGGUGGCCGCACGCCGGGAAAGCCAGUCGGCAGGGGGACAUCCCGCUCUUCAAGCUCAUAUUGGUGUAGCAGCAAGUCCUGAGUAUGGUUAGCAGGCGAGUAUAGGCUAUAAUAUAUGGCAAAGUAAAUACGCCCCAAGGAGAACAACACAACUACAUACGAGACGUUUUGCGACCCUGUCUAUUUUGCAGUGAGAUGAACAUAAGCAUCUCAUGCAAAGUAUAAGAGAUCAGUUACAAGAAACAACUGCACCCAUCCUGGUCAUUGCACUGCUCCUUGCUUCAAGGCGAUCUACUGAAUAAGAGAAUCACCAAGCCACUGAGACAGCUCUAUGAGAUGAACAGCAGAGGGAGCAUUCUAGUUGCCAGCGCUCUCCACUUCUUAUUGGAAUAGUGCUGUGUGGUAGUGUCAUAGAGCUCUGUGCGACAGAGAGAAAUGCAGAAGUCGCGCAGCAUUCAAUGCAACAUCCUGUGCUGCUGGACACUGAGCAACUUCCAAGAGACGCAGCAGAAACAUUACACAAGGCAUGCAUGCUCCUCUUCUCAACUCCCUGCCUAUCACAUGAAAGCUGGAUUGAAGGACAUCCAAUCCCUUUAGAUUGUAAAUUUGCGUGCUGGGCCUUCCUACCUUUAUGACUGUCUAUUAU
This is a long non-coding RNA of Pseudophryne corroboree (corroboree frog), 709 nucleotides long. RefSeq lists it as uncharacterized. The record is from RefSeq and is a predicted model, not a curated record. Lineage: Eukaryota; Metazoa; Chordata; Amphibia; Anura; Myobatrachidae. The transcript has 4 exons.